UUUUGGAGCCAGCCGCCUAAGGUGGGACAGAUGAUUGGGGUGAAGUCGUAACAAGGUAGCCGUAUCGGAAGGUGCGGCUGGAUCACCUCCUUU
This 93-nucleotide non-coding RNA is filed under the name Bacillus cereus. RNAcentral describes it as "partial 16S ribosomal RNA". It matches the Rfam family "Bacterial small subunit ribosomal RNA", at positions 1441 to 1533 of the family's 1533-position model. The record is from RNAcentral. Lineage: Bacteria; Bacillati; Bacillota; Bacilli; Caryophanales; Bacillaceae. RNAcentral also lists the same sequence under 21 other names.